UGCAAGUUCGAGCGGUAGCACAGAGAGCUUGCUCUCGGGUGACGAGCGGCGGACGGGUGAGUAAUGUCUGGGAAACUGCCUGAUGGAGGGGGAUAACUACUGGAAACGGUAGCUAAUACCGCAUAAUGUCGCAAGACCAAAGUGGGGGACCUUCGGGCCUCAUGCCAUCAGAUGUGCCCAGAUGGGAUUAGCUAGUAGGUGGGGUAACGGCUCACCUAGGCGACGAUCCCUAGCUGGUCUGAGAGGAUGACCAGCCACACUGGAACUGAGACACGGUCCAGACUCCUACGGGAGGCAGCAGUGGGGAAUAUUGCACAAUGGGCGCAAGCCUGAUGCAGCCAUGCCGCGUGUGUGAAGAAGGCCUUCGGGUUGUAAAGCACUUUCAGCGGGGAGGAAGGCGUUGAGGUUAAUAACCUUGGCGAUUGACGUUACCCGCAGAAGAAGCACCGGCUAACUCCGUGCCAGCAGCCGCGGUAAUACGGAGGGUGCAAGCGUUAAUCGGAAUUACUGGGCGUAAAGCGCACGCAGGCGGUCUGUCAAGUCGGAUGUGAAAUCCCCGGGCUCAACCUGGGAACUGCAUUCGAAACUGGCAGGCUAGAGUCUUGUAGAGGGGGGUAGAAUUCCAGGUGUAGCGGUGAAAUGCGUAGAGAUCUGGAGGAAUACCGGUGGCGAAGGCGGCCCCCUGGACAAAGACUGACGCUCAGGUGCGAAAGCGUGGGGAGCACACAGGAUUAGAUACCCUGGUAGUCCACGCCGUAGACGAUGUCGAUCUGGAGGUUGUGCCCUUGAGGCGUGGCUUCCGGAGCUAACGCGUUAAAUCGACCGCCUGGCGAGUACGGCCGCACGGUUAAAACUCACAUGAAUUGACGGGCGCCCGCACAAGCGGUGGAGCAUGUGGUU
RNAcentral lists this ribosomal RNA (900 nucleotides) under Klebsiella pneumoniae. RNAcentral's name for it is "bacterial SSU rRNA". It matches the Rfam family "Bacterial small subunit ribosomal RNA", at positions 56 to 946 of the family's 1533-position model. Lineage: Bacteria; Pseudomonadati; Pseudomonadota; Gammaproteobacteria; Enterobacterales; Enterobacteriaceae. The record is from RNAcentral.